This 491-nucleotide ribosomal RNA is filed under the name uncultured bacterium. Its description in RNAcentral is "partial 16S ribosomal RNA". It matches the Rfam family "Bacterial small subunit ribosomal RNA", at positions 28 to 507 of the family's 1533-position model. The record is from RNAcentral.
GAUGAACGCUGGCUACAGGCUUAACACAUGCAAGUCGAGGGGAAACGACGGGGAAGCUUGCUUCCCCGGGCGUCGACCGGCGCACGGGUGAGUAACGCGUAUCCAACCUGCCUCUGACUGAGGGAUAACCCGUCGAAAGUCGGCCUAAUACCUCAUGGCAUCGUCUGCGGGCAUCCAACGACGAUUAAAGAUUUCAUCGGUCAGGGAUGGGGAUGCGUCUGAUUAGCUAGUUGGCGGGGUAACGGCCCACCAAGGCGACGAUCAGUAGGGGUUCUGAGAGGAGCGUCCCCCACAUGGGAACUGAGACAAGGUCCAAACUCCUACGGGAGGCAGCCGUGAGGGAUGUUGGUCAAGGGACGAGAGCCUGAACCAGCGAAGUAGCGUGCAGGAAGGCGGCCCUAUGGGUUGUAAACUGCUUUUAUGCGGGGAUAAAGUGAGGGACGUGUCCUUCAUUGCAGGUACCGGAUGAAUAAGGACCGGCUAAUUCCGUG